RNAcentral lists this ribosomal RNA (252 nucleotides) under uncultured bacterium. RNAcentral's name for it is "partial 16S ribosomal RNA". It matches the Rfam family "Bacterial small subunit ribosomal RNA", at positions 524 to 776 of the family's 1533-position model. The record is from RNAcentral.
UACAGAGGGUGCAAGCGUUAAUCGGAAUUACUGGGCGUAAAGCGUGCGUAGACGGUUAUGUAAGUCAGAUGUGAAAGCCCAGGGCUCAACCUUGGAAUUGCAUUUGAGACUGCAUAGCUAGGGUGCGGAAGAGGGAAGCGGAAUUUCCGGUGUAGCGGUGAAAUGCGUAGAUAUCGGAAGGAACACCAGUGGCGAAAGCGGCUUCCUGGUCCAGCACCGACGUCAGGCACGAAAGCGUGGGGAGCAAACAGG